RNAcentral lists this long non-coding RNA (846 nucleotides) under Homo sapiens (human). Its description in RNAcentral is "non-protein coding lnc-PALLD-4:1". Lineage: Eukaryota; Metazoa; Chordata; Mammalia; Primates; Hominidae. The record is from RNAcentral.
AUGGUGGUGAAAAAAUUGAGAAGCUGGAUACUAAAGAGAAGGAACCCGAAGCCACGAAGGCUGAUGCUGGUGGUAAGGUGAAAACGGGUAACUUCAAGGCUAAAAGCCCCAAGAAGGGGAAGCUCCACUGUGGCCAAAAUCCUAUCCUUAUUAGAGGAAUUGGCAGAUAUUCCUCAUCUGCUAUAUAUUCCAGAAGUGCCAUGUACAAGAGGAAGUACUCAGCCAAUAAAUCCAAGGUUGAAAAGAAAAAGGAGAAAGUUCUUGCAACUGUUACAAAACCAGUUGGUGGUGAGAAGAAUGGUGGUAACCUAGGUGGUUAAACUUCACAAAAUGCCUAGAUAUUAUCCUACUGAAGAUGUGUCUCAAAAGCUGCUGAGCCACAGCAAAAACCUUCAGUCAGCAUGUGACAAACUGCGAGCCAGCAUCACCCCAGGGACCAUUCUGAUCAUCCUCUCUAGGUGUCACAGAGGCAAGAGAAUGGUUUUCCCGAAGCAGCUGGCUACCGGCUCGUUACUUUGACUGGACCUCUGGUCCUCAAUUGAGUUCCUCUAGAAGAACACACCAGAAAUUUGUCAUUGCCACCUCAACCAAAAUUGGUAUCUGCAAUGUAAAAAUCUCAAAACAUCUUACUGUUGCUUACUUCAAGAAGAGGCAGCUGCAGAAGCCCAGAUAUCAAGAAGGUGAUAUCUUCGACACGGAAAAAGAGAAAUGACCAGUGCAAGGUUGAUCAGAAAGCUGUGGACUCAAAUUUUAACAAAAAUCAAAGCCAUUCCUCAGCUCCAGGGCUACCUAUAAUCUGUGUUUGCCCUGACAAAUAAAAUUUAACCUCACAAAGUGGUGCUCUAA